GCCGGGUGUGGUGGCGUGUGCCUGUAAUCCAAGCUACUUGGGAGGCUGAGGCAGGAGAAUCACUUGAACCCAGGAGACUGAGGUUGCAGUGAGCCUAGAUUGCACUGCUCCACUCCAGCCUGGGUGACAGAGAGAAACUCCGUCUCAA
This 148-nucleotide non-coding RNA is filed under the name Gorilla gorilla gorilla (western lowland gorilla). Lineage: Eukaryota; Metazoa; Chordata; Mammalia; Primates; Hominidae. The record is from Rfam by way of RNAcentral.